GACGAACGCUGGCGGCGUGCUUAACACAUGCAAGUCGAACGGAAAGGCCCUGCUUUUGUGGUGCGCUCGUGUGGCGAACGGGUGAGUAACACGGGUGUAACCCGCCCCUGUCCUUGGGAUAACUUUAGGAAACUGGGGCUAAUACCGGAUAGGAGCUCCUGCUGCAUGGGGUGGGAUAGAAAGUUUCGGCGGUUGGGGAUGGACUCGCUGCUUAUCUGCUUGUUGGUGGGGUAGUGGCUUACCAAGGCUUUGACGGGUAGCCGGCCUGGGAGGGUGACCGGCCACAUUGGGACUGAGAUAGGGCCCAGCCUCCUCCGGGAGGCAGCGGUGGGAAGUAUGGCACAAUGGGCGGAAGCCUGAUGCGGCACCGCCGGGUGCGGAAUACCGGCCUUCGGGUGGUAAACCGCUUUCGCAGGUACCAAGGCGUGAGUGACGGUAACGAGUAAAGAAGCACCGGCUAACUACGUG
RNAcentral lists this ribosomal RNA (468 nucleotides) under uncultured bacterium. RNAcentral's name for it is "partial 16S ribosomal RNA". It matches the Rfam family "Bacterial small subunit ribosomal RNA", at positions 28 to 507 of the family's 1533-position model. The record is from RNAcentral.